RNAcentral lists this long non-coding RNA (1340 nucleotides) under Mytilus galloprovincialis (Mediterranean mussel). The record is from RNAcentral. Lineage: Eukaryota; Metazoa; Mollusca; Bivalvia; Mytilida; Mytilidae.
GGACGUAUACCAAGAAUAACAUAAUUGAAAACCUUUGUAGGCAUCUUAUUCAACCAUACAUACGUGACAUUAACAUACCUUUUAAGUAGUUUUCGUUAUUAAAAACAUUAAACAGAUACAAUUGUGGUGUAAUAAUAGCUUUAUUUAAUACAUAUGGUUAAAUAUUGACCAACAGACCUUGAAUGCUUGCUGUAAACAACAAAAGAAAAUCAGGCAUUUUAUAUCAAAGCUGUUAUAUAUGGUCGUGUCAUUAUCUUAUAAAGUAAGUUGAUAUAAAUUUUAUCUUACAAGUAUUUGAGAAAACUCAAAAGUAUAUCUGCUGACCUGUUAACCAGUUUUUAUAAGAAAAAAAUAUUUACCCUGUGUAUCUAUUUAAUAGCCUAGGACAAGAGUACAACACAGUGAAAUAAGUCUCCUGCUUUACCAACUUUUGAUUUUAUGUUGAAAGUCUUAAACAUAAAGGUUUCAUGACAAGAAUUACAUAAACUUAAUAUUUCUAAAGAUCCAUGACAAUGAGGUCAAGGUCAGAAAAAUCCUCUCAGACAGACAUGACAUUCAUGUUACAAUUAUUCCAUACAUCAAAUAUAGUUAAUUAUAUUAUCAAUUAUGGUUAUUGAAAAACAGACCAUUACAAAAAAUUAACAUUGGCCAAUGAACCAUAAAAUUGAGGUCAAGGCCAGAUGAAACCUGACACACUGACAUGUACACCUUACAAACAUUCCAUACACGACAUUAAAGGGCCUACUGCUUAACGUCAUGAGAAAUAGACCUAUCACAUAUAACUUUAACCUUGAUCACUAAUUCCCUGAAAUGAUGUCUAGGGGAGGUGGAUCCUGUCUGACUGACAUGUAGACAUUGAUAGGAACCCAUAUACAAAACAUUGUUAUCGGGGAACUUAUCCUAUUACUCAUAAGUGAGAAAUUCACAUGACAAAGAAAUACCAACAUUUUGUUUCAACCAGUCGUUAAACCAUGAAAAUGAGGUCAAAGACAAUGAACAUAUGACAGACAAAAACUUUGUAACAUAAGGUUUCUGCAUGCAGGUCAUUAACCUUCUGAAAUAUAAUGCUUGAUAAAUAGUUUACAUGGUUGCUGCCACCACUGCAGCCGCUAAAUAGUAACACAUAUGUCUCAAAUACUGACGAGACAAACUAGAGGCUCUAAAGAGCCUGUGUCGCUCACCUUGGUCUAUGUGCAUAUUCAGCAAAGGACACAGAUGGAUUAAUGACAAAAUUGUGUUUUGGUGAUGAUGAUGUGUUUGUAGAUCUACUUUACUGAACCUUCUUCUUCUUACAAUUAUCUUCAAUCUUAAUGAACUUGGCCCAUUAGUUACAAGGAAAA